GGGCGCUUAGCUCAGUUGGUUAGAGCAGCUGGCUUACAUCCAGCAGGCCGGGGGUUCGAGUCCCUCAGCGCCCA
This 74-nucleotide transfer RNA is filed under the name Actinomycetes bacterium. Its description in RNAcentral is "tRNA-Val". It matches the Rfam family "tRNA". Rfam says of the family: Transfer RNA (tRNA) molecules are approximately 80 nucleotides in length. Their secondary structure includes four short double-helical elements and three loops (D, anti-codon, and T loops). The record is from RNAcentral. Lineage: Bacteria; Bacillati; Actinomycetota; Actinomycetes. RNAcentral also lists the same sequence under 1 other name.